RNAcentral lists this transfer RNA (83 nucleotides) under Pseudonocardiaceae bacterium. RNAcentral's name for it is "tRNA-Tyr". It matches the Rfam family "tRNA". Rfam says of the family: Transfer RNA (tRNA) molecules are approximately 80 nucleotides in length. Their secondary structure includes four short double-helical elements and three loops (D, anti-codon, and T loops). The record is from RNAcentral. Lineage: Bacteria; Bacillati; Actinomycetota; Actinomycetes; Pseudonocardiales; Pseudonocardiaceae. RNAcentral also lists the same sequence under 1 other name.
GGCGGGUUGCCCGAGCGGCCAAUGGGAGCGGACUGUAAAUCCGUCGGCGUACGCCUUCCAAGGUUCGAAUCCUUGACCCGCCA